AUUAAUGCUGGUGGUAUGCAUAACACAUGCAAGUCGAACGAAGAGGGUUUACUCUCUUAGUGGCGAACGGGCGAGUAACACAUAUUUAACUUACCUGCACGAGGAGAAUAGUAACUCGAAAGAGUUGUUAAUACUCCAUAGGUUUGAGACUCAAAUUAAAGGGAGCGUUCUGGGAAACUAGAGCUUCGCGAGCAGAGAGGAGUAUGUCCUAUUAGGUUGUUGGUGGGGUAAUUGCCUACCAAGCCGAUGAUGGGUAGCUGGACUGAGAGGUCGACCAGCCGCAAUGGGAUUGAAAUACGGCCCAUAUUCCUACGGGAAGCAGCAGUGAGGAAUUUUUCACAAUGGACGAAAGUCUGAUGGAGCAAUACCAUGUGAACGAUGAAGGUCUUCUGAUUGUAAAGUUCUUUUAUUUAGGAAAAAAAGCUUGAUAGGAAAUGAUUAAGCCUUGAUUGUACUAAAUGAAUAAGUGACAGCUAACUAUGUGCCAG
This 488-nucleotide ribosomal RNA is filed under the name Candidatus Mycoplasma haematominutum. Its description in RNAcentral is "bacterial SSU rRNA". It matches the Rfam family "Bacterial small subunit ribosomal RNA", at positions 32 to 511 of the family's 1533-position model. The record is from RNAcentral. Lineage: Bacteria; Bacillati; Mycoplasmatota; Mollicutes; Mycoplasmatales; Mycoplasmataceae.